GACGAACGCUGGCGGCGUGCUUAACACAUGCAAGUCGAACGGGAAGGCCCUGCUUUUGUGGGGUGCUCGAGUGGCGAACGGGUGAGUAACACGUGAGUAACCUGCCCUUGACUUUGGGAUAACUUCAGGAAACUGGGGCUAAUACCGGAUAGGAGCUCCUGCUGCAUGGUGGGGGUUGGAAAGUUUCGGCGGUUGGGGAUGGACUCGCGGCUUAUCAGCUUGUUUGUGGGGUAGUGGCUUACCAAGGCUUUGACGGGUAGCCGGCCUGAGAGGGUGACCGGCCACAUUGGGACUGAGAUACGGCCCAGACUACUACGGGAGGCAGCAGUGGGGAAUAUUGCACAAUGGGCGGAAGCCUGAUGCAGCAACGCCGCGUGCGGGAUGACGGCCUUCGGGUUGGAAACCGCUUUCGCCUGUGACGAAGCGUGAGUGACGGUAAUGGGUAAAGAAGCACCGGCUAACUACGUG
Molecule: ribosomal RNA, 468 nt
Filed under: uncultured bacterium
Lineage: Bacteria
Description: partial 16S ribosomal RNA
Rfam family: Bacterial small subunit ribosomal RNA
Source: RNAcentral